GUCGAGAAUAAUUCACAAUGGGGGAAACCCUGAUGGUGCAACGCCGCGUGGAGGAUGAAGGUCUUCGGAUUGUAAACUCCUGUCAUCCGGGAGCAAGACCUGGGCGUGAAUAGCGCACAGGUGUGAUAGUACCGGAAGAGGAAGGGACGGCUAACUUCGUGCCAGCAGCCGCGGUAAUACGAAGGUCCCAAGCGUUGUUCGGAAUCACUGGGCGUAAAGGGUGGGUAGGCGGCGUGGUAAGUCAGAUGUGAAAUCCCGGGGCUCAACCUCGGAACUGCAUCCGAUACUGCCAUGCUUGAGGGCUGGAGAGGUAACUGGAAUUCUCGGUGUAGCAGUGAAAUGCGUGGAUAUCGAGAGGAACACUCGUGGCGAAGGCGAGUUACUGGACAGCAUCUGACGCUGAGGCACGAAGGCCAGGGGAGCGAAAGGGAUUAGAAACCCGGGUAGUCC
RNAcentral lists this ribosomal RNA (450 nucleotides) under uncultured bacterium. RNAcentral's name for it is "partial 16S ribosomal RNA". It matches the Rfam family "Bacterial small subunit ribosomal RNA", at positions 354 to 796 of the family's 1533-position model. The record is from RNAcentral.